CGGACUGAGUUGACCAUAAACCAAAUCGGACUGGUUCAACCCGAUUCUGGCUCCAGUUUACUGUUUUAAAAAUCCAAGCCAAACUGGACCGAACCAGUUAUUUCUUAAGUAUAUAGUUUUUAAAAAUUAUUUAAAUAUGCUAUAUUAUGGUUGGUUGGUGCACCAAUUCUACAUUCUUUGAAUAGAAAGGGCUGCACAUAACCUCACCCUAUUUAUCCUUUUAGUUUCUAA
Molecule: long non-coding RNA, 231 nt
Filed under: Prunus persica (peach)
Lineage: Eukaryota; Viridiplantae; Streptophyta; Magnoliopsida; Rosales; Rosaceae
Description: long non-coding RNA (PPER_LNC008171)
Source: RNAcentral